GAUGAACGCUGGCGGCGUGCCUAAUACAUGCAAGUCGAGCGAACGGACGAGAAGCUUGCUUCUCUGAUGUUAGCGGCGGACGGGUGAGUAACACGUGGAUAACCUACCUAUAAGACUGGGAUAACUUCGGGAAACCGUAGCUAAUACCGGAUAAUAUUUUGAACCGCAUGGUUCAAAAGUGAAAGACGGUCUUGCUGUCACUUAUAGAUGGAUCCGCGCUGCAUUAGCUAGUUGGUAAGGUAACGGCUUACCAAGGCAACGAUGCAUAGCCGGCCUGAGAGGGUGAUCGGCCACACUGGAACUGAGACACGGUCCAGACUCCUACGGGAGGCAGCAGUAGGGAAUCUUCCGCAAAGGGCGAAAGCCUGACGGAGCAACGCCGCGUGAGUGAUGAAGGUCUUCGGAUCGUAAAACUCUGUUAUUAGGGAAGAACAUAUGUGUAAGUAACUGUGCACAUCUUGACGGUACCUAAUCAGAAAGCCACGGCUAACUACGUG
RNAcentral lists this ribosomal RNA (497 nucleotides) under uncultured bacterium. RNAcentral's name for it is "partial 16S ribosomal RNA". It matches the Rfam family "Bacterial small subunit ribosomal RNA", at positions 28 to 507 of the family's 1533-position model. The record is from RNAcentral.